AAGCGUGGGGGAGAGGACUUCUUGGAUCCACCAACCCUCCAGCCGCCCCCGAAUGUGCCUGGUCCCUCUCCUCGCCUCUUCUCACCGCUGAAAGUCCCACCAUCUAGCCAACCUUGCCUUCAUGCAAUAAAUCACCAAGUCCUAUGGAUUCACCCUCCUGAAGCUCCAUGAGGGCCACACCUGUGGCAUAUGGAAAUUCCUGAGCUAGAGAGCUACACCUGGAGCCCACGCCACAGACACAGCAAUGCUAGAUCGGAGCCUCAUUGGCCUAUGCCGCGGCUUGUGGAAACACAGGAUCCUUAACCCACCCGACCAAGGCCAGAAAUAGAAACGCAUCAUCAGGGAGCACUAUGUCAG
This is a non-coding RNA of Sus scrofa (pig), 357 nucleotides long. The record is from RefSeq and is a predicted model, not a curated record. Lineage: Eukaryota; Metazoa; Chordata; Mammalia; Artiodactyla; Suidae.